This 589-nucleotide long non-coding RNA is filed under the name Homo sapiens (human). Its description in RNAcentral is "HIF1A stabilizing long noncoding RNA". The record is from RNAcentral. Lineage: Eukaryota; Metazoa; Chordata; Mammalia; Primates; Hominidae.
GGUAAAAGUCAUCGCCAUUCUCUAAUCUUGAGUACCCAGGGACACGAUACACUGCGGAAGGCUGCAGGGACCUCUGCCCAGGAAAGCCAGGAGCCAGAAAAACUUCAUCUCUUUUACAAGAAACAUUGAGAUUCCUGUAAAAUUAAGAAAUCACACAAUUUGAUGGUCUACAUUAUCUAAAGCAAAUGAGACUUCUAUUUGGAACAAAGACUACCUUGUUGGGAAAUGAGUCUGCAAGUUAAAGUGUUUUCUGGAGCUAAAAAGAAAACUACAACUCAACAUAGACAAGCAAAGUUCACAGGAAAUCUGACCCUGUGACAAUAAUUUUAAGGAACAAGAAGGCAUGAGUCACAAUCCAAAAUAGCAAGAAUAAAGCAUAGGAUUCUGCUUAUGCCAAAAUAUUCCUCUGUGAUUUAAACAGAGGCAGGGACUUUGUUUCAACCAUAGUGGAUAUGGGAGGGAGAACGUCUACUGUAAGUUGGGAUGUCUACAGAAGAAAUGGAUAUCCAAGACACAAAUAACUAUUUUUAAACAAGUACAUAAAAGACAGGGAUGUGUCUAUUAAAUAAAUUCUUAUCAUUUUCUACCC